UAUAUUGAUUAUAAUGUGUUUGCAACACAUUAAAGCUUUUGAAGAGUUCAAGAAAUAUUUGUCUCGACUUAAAGAUCGAGCAUUAUGCCAACGAGAUUCUUGCUUAUACUAAGAAAGUAUUGAAGCAUUUUUAUGAGGAUUAUCCGUUGGACACUUUAAAGAUUUUCCGGAAGUAUAUUGGACCGGACAUCGUAUUUUCCUGAUAGAGCUCAACUCCAUUACCAUCAUUUUGGGAUGAUGUGAGGCAUAUUUGAUGUUAUCUCAGCAUAACACCAUAUACGGGCAUAUUUUUGAGUGAACUUACAAAUAGCCCAAGUGUUAUUAGAUAUGCGG
RNAcentral lists this long non-coding RNA (333 nucleotides) under Prunus persica (peach). Its description in RNAcentral is "long non-coding RNA (PPER_LNC001894)". Lineage: Eukaryota; Viridiplantae; Streptophyta; Magnoliopsida; Rosales; Rosaceae. The record is from RNAcentral.